AUCGCUUCUCGGCCUUUUGGCUAAGAUCAAAGUGUAGUAUCUGUUCUUAUCAGUUUAAUAUCUGAUACGUCCCCUAUCUGGGGACCAUAUAUUAAAUGGAUUUUUGGAACAGGGAGAUGGAAGAGAGCUUGCUCUGUCCACUCCACGCAUCGACCUGGUAUUGCAGUACCUCCAGGACCGGUGCACCUCUC
This 191-nucleotide small nuclear RNA is filed under the name Xenopus tropicalis (tropical clawed frog). RNAcentral's name for it is "U2 spliceosomal RNA (ENSXETG00000043827.1)". It matches the Rfam family "U2 spliceosomal RNA". Rfam says of the family: U2 is a small nuclear RNA (snRNA) component of the spliceosome (involved in pre-mRNA splicing). The record is from Rfam by way of RNAcentral. Lineage: Eukaryota; Metazoa; Chordata; Amphibia; Anura; Pipidae.